Non-coding RNA from Labrus bergylta (ballan wrasse), 2469 nucleotides. Lineage: Eukaryota; Metazoa; Chordata; Actinopteri; Labriformes; Labridae. The record is from RefSeq and is a predicted model, not a curated record.
AGCUUGGAGAGAAAGUGAAGGAGCAGAUGAAGAAGAGGUGUCAAGAUCCUGAUGUAAGUGGGAUGGUGGUUGAUAUUCAGGUGUUUAAGUGUGAGAACAUCAAUGGAAGAAGUGCUGGUAUGUAGUGAUGAGGUGUUGGUAUAAAUGGAAAGUUACUGAAUGUCCAUCUGUCACUGCUGCUGUCGUUGGAGGGAGUGAAUGUGCAGAAGCAGACUUUGGAGCCUGGAGUGCGGGUUGCUGGUUUGAGAGUGUGUUUUGUAGCAGAUGAGGUGGAUGCUGGGGCCAUCAUUGUGUAGGAGGCGGUGCCAGUGCUGGGUGGAGAUACAGAGGAGAGUCUGUCAGACAUAAUCAGGGAGGCCGAGGUUUACCUCCUGCUCUGGAUGUGGUGGCUGGUGGAGGAGUUGGGCUUGCAGAGGACGGAUACAUCAUGUGGAAGUGGAGUUGAAUUGAAGAACAUGAGCAUUCCAAUAAUGUUGAUGAACCUGUCUGUGUGUCCUUUGUAGCAUCUUAAUUGUGUAAAAGUUGGUUUGAUAAUGGAUAAAAGCCACUACAUCAUGAAAUAGAUGAAUAAAAAAUUGACAUGUACACAUUAAAAACCCAAGAAUUAUGUGAAGGUAUGAACUUUCCAGUGUUUGAUGAGUGGAAAAAUGUUGUUUGAUUUUAUCAUUUGUACGUUUCCAUUUACUAACAAAGAAAGGAGGAAAAAUGAGUAUUGUGUGUGGAGAGAGAUUGUAGUAAUAGAAAAAGUACAUUGAAUUGUUAAGUUUUGAGAAAUGGUAGUUGUAGUGGAAUGAAGGUGUAAAUUUCGAUAGAAAGAAAACAUUGAGUGGUUUUGCAUGUCAUGGUGUUGAAAUGAUAUGUAUUGUAAUGGCUAACAAUGAAUGAUUGUGUUAUUUUGUUGAAGUUGUUUUGAUGAAUGAAGUUGUUGUAGAAAUUGUUAGUUGAUGUGAAUUAAGGAUUUAGUUGAUAUAAUGUGAGAGAGGAACAUAUUUACUAUGAACUUGACAUCAGUAAGCUGAUGUUUGGAGUUUAGUUUGAGUGAGAGGGUUAUGUUAGGUGGUGUGUUGUGUAUUUGAAUGUGUUUUCUGGUGUUUUGCAGGAGUGGUGAAAUGCUGCUGUGGGAUUGGUUGAUUCCAUUUAUGGCGUGUGAGCCGGCCCUUGUAAUAAGAAGUUGAUGAAGGUCAGAUGUGAGUAAUCAAAAAUAAUGCUGUUCAGGUGGUGGAAUGGGCAGUAUAUAAGGAGACGGUGCAAGCGUCAGCGUUUUUGCGUCAGUGGAAGAAGUCCAAACCGGAAGAAGUCCAAAGCGGAAAAAGUCCAGACUGCGGGAGUAGUCCAGAGUGGGGAGAGAGUCCAGACCGGGGAGGGAGACCAGACCGAGGAGGGAGUCCAGAACGUGGAGGGAGACCAGACCGAGGAGGGAGUCCAGAACGUGGAGGGAGACCAGACCGAGGAGGGAGUCCAGAACGUGGAGGGAGACCAGACCGAGGAGGGAGUCCAGAACGUGGAGGGAGACCAGACCGAGGAGGGAGUCCAGAAAGUGGAGGCAGACCAGACUGUGGAGGGAGUCCAGACGGCAGAGGGAAUCCAGACGUGCAGAGAGAAUCCAGACAUGCAGAAGACUCCCGACAUGCUGACUCUUCGACGUGCUGACUCCAUCAUCUGACUCCUUCCUCAGACUCACUCCUCAGACACACCCACGCGCCCACCACCUUCUUCUCUACUGCCUAAUCCAGCAUGCUGCAUGUGGUGGACCAUGUUCCUCAGUCUACACCGCUAAGCUAACAUGGAUCACUUCUUUGGAACAACUCAAUCUGCACUGAACUCACCAAUCCCAUUACAGAGUCCAACCUACAUGAUCAGGACAUGUGAUAACUACCAAUGAACAAUUGUUUCUUUUGUAGUACAACAAUGUGGAUCAACACUUAUCCAUCUCCACCCUUCUGCAUCUCUUAACUACAUAUUUAUACACCAACAGGUGAAGAUCGUGAAUUCUUUGACAGACUCAACCAGCUGCAAUGAAAACACCACCAUCAUUGGUCGGGAGUGUUCUCACAUCUAUGAGGCUUCCUAGGAUUCUCUGGAGGGCAGCACAUGUACUGACAGCAGCAGCAUUCAAUAUUCCUCAGUCUCCAACUUACAAUUACAUUUCAAACAUUGUCACAUAAUUGUUAAAACCUUUCAAUUCACUUUUACUUAUCUUAGCAAAUCUUUAGUUUCACAAUCCAUUUAUUGCCUUUUGUACUCAUUUUCUUUCCUCUUUUUCUUUAACUUUACAGAUUCUUCUUUAUUAAUGUAUUUGAAUUGGUGUUGCAAAUAAAUCUUCUUAUUCAAGAUUACUUCUUGAUUUAACUUUGAGGACCAGGGAAGUAACUUACCAUGUUUUUUUCCAUGUUAAACCUGCCCCCCUAGAUGUGUUCGCAACAACAUGUGAUUAACCAACACACAAAUAAACUGUGAUGUUGAAUCAUG